Molecule: ribosomal RNA, 492 nt
Filed under: Odontotermes sp. 3 SC-2011
Lineage: Eukaryota; Metazoa; Arthropoda; Insecta; Blattodea; Termitidae
Description: partial 16S ribosomal RNA
Source: RNAcentral
AAACAUCUUUUCUUGUUAGUCUCUGAAGUAUGGCCUGCCCGCUGACGUUUUAUUAGUUGAAGGGCCGCGGUAUUUUGACCGUGCAAAGGUAGCAUAGUCAUUAGUUCUUUAAUUGUGAUCUGGUAUGAAUGGCUUGACGAGACAUGGGCUGUCUUGGAUUAGUGGAUUUAUUGUUGAAUUUGGACUUUAGGUUAAAAUUCUUAGAUGUUUUUAUGGGACGAGAAGACCCUAUAGAGUUUGACAUUUGAUUGUGUAUUUCUUAUUGUUUGUUUUAAAUUUUUUCGUAUCUUUUGUUUUGUUGGGGUGAUGGGAGGAAUUUAUUUAACUCUUCUUUUAUGUGGUAUAUUGAUUUGUAUUGGUUUUGAUCCAUUUAUUUUGAUUGUAAGAUUAAAUUACCUUAGGGAUAACAGCGUUAUCUUCCUUGAGAGUUCUUAUUGGCGGGGGGGUUUGCGACCUCGAUGUUGGAUUAAGAUUAAUUUUUGGUGUAGGAGC